RNAcentral lists this ribosomal RNA (253 nucleotides) under uncultured bacterium. RNAcentral's name for it is "partial 16S ribosomal RNA". It matches the Rfam family "Bacterial small subunit ribosomal RNA", at positions 524 to 776 of the family's 1533-position model. The record is from RNAcentral.
UACGUAGGGUGCAAGCGUUAAUCGGAAUUACUGGGCGUAAAGCGUGCGCAGGCGGUUUUGUAAGACUGUCGUGAAAUCCCCCGGCUUAACCUGGGAACUGCGUCUGAUACUGGGAGGCUUGAGUAUGGGAGAGGGAUGUAGAAUUCCAGGUGUAGCGGUGAAAUGCGUAGAUAUCUGGAGGAAUACCGGUGGCGAAGGCGGCAUCCUGGACCAUAACUGACGCUGAGGCGCGAAAGCGUGGGGAGCAAACAGG